This 430-nucleotide ribosomal RNA is filed under the name Bacteroidota bacterium. RNAcentral describes it as "Bacteroidetes bacterium partial 16S ribosomal RNA". It matches the Rfam family "Bacterial small subunit ribosomal RNA", at positions 355 to 776 of the family's 1533-position model. The record is from RNAcentral. Lineage: Bacteria; Pseudomonadati; Bacteroidota.
UAGGGAAUCUUCGGCAAUGGGGGGAACCCUGACCGAGCAACGCCGCGUGAGUGAAGAAGGUUUUCGGAUCGUAAAGCUCUGUUGUUAAGGAAGAACGAGUGUGAGAAUGGAAAGUUCAUGCUGUGACGGUACUUAACCAGAAAGGGACGGCUAACUACGUGCCAGCAGCCGCGGUAAUACGUAGGUGGCAAGCGUUAUCCGGAAUUAUUGGGCGUAAAGCGCGCGUAGGCGGUUUUUUAAGUCUGAUGUGAAAGCCCACGGCUCAACCGUGGAGGGUCAUUGGAAACUGGAAAACUUGAGUGCAGAAGGGGAGAGUGGAAUUCCAUGUGUAGCGGUGAAAUGCGUAGAUAUAUGGAGGAACACCGGUGGCGAAAGCGGCUCUCUGGUCUGUAACUGACGCUGAGGCUCGAAAGCGUGGGGAGCGAACAGG